This 451-nucleotide ribosomal RNA is filed under the name uncultured bacterium. Its description in RNAcentral is "bacterial SSU rRNA". It matches the Rfam family "Bacterial small subunit ribosomal RNA", at positions 335 to 799 of the family's 1533-position model. The record is from RNAcentral.
ACUCCUACGGGAGGCAGCAGUGGGGAAUAUUGCACAAUGGGCGCAAGCCUGAUGCAGCAACGCCGUGUGAGUGAAGAAGGUUUUCGGAUCGUAAAACUCUGUCCUAAGGGAAGAAACAAAUGACGGUACCUUAGGAGGAAGCCCCGGCUAACUACGUGCCAGCAGCCGCGGUAAUACGUAGGGGGCAAGCGUUAUCCGGAAUCACUGGGGCGUAAAGGGUGCGUAGGCGGCUUAGCAAGCCAGGGGUGAAAGGCAUUGGCUCAACCAAUGUAAGCCUUUGGAACUGUUAGGCUUGAGUGCAGGAGAGGUAAGUGGAAUUCCUAGUGUAGAGGUGAAAUUCGUAGAUAUUAGGAGGAACACCAGUGGCGAAGGCGACUUACUGGACUGUAACUGACGCUGAUGCACGAAAGCGUGGGUAGCGAACAGGAUUAGAUACCCUGGUGGCACAGAG